GAUGAACGCUGGCGGCGUGCCUAAUACAUGCAAGUCGAGCGAACAGACGAGAGUGCUUGCACUCUCUGACGUUAGCGGCGGACGGGUGAGUAACACGUGGGUAACCUACCUAUAAGACUGGGAUAACUUCGGGAAACCGGAGCUAAUACCGGAUAAUAUUUAGCUUCGCAUGAAGCAAUAGUGAAAGACGGUUCUGCUGUCACUUAUAGAUGGACCCGCGGUGUAUUAGCUAGUUGGUGAGGUAACGGCUCACCAAGGCAACGAUACAUAGCCGACCUGAGAGGGUGAUCGGCCACACUGGGACUGAGACACGGCCCAGACUCCUACGGGAGGCAGCAGUAGGGAAUCUUCCGCAAUGGACGAAAGUCUGACGGAGCAAUGCCGCGUGAGUGAAGAAGGUUUUCGGAUUGUAAAACUCUGUUGUAAGGGAAGAACAAGUACGUUAGUAACUGAACGUACCUUGACGGUACCUUACCAGAAAGCCACGGCUAACUACGUG
This 499-nucleotide ribosomal RNA is filed under the name uncultured bacterium. Its description in RNAcentral is "partial 16S ribosomal RNA". It matches the Rfam family "Bacterial small subunit ribosomal RNA", at positions 28 to 507 of the family's 1533-position model. The record is from RNAcentral.